Molecule: ribosomal RNA, 377 nt
Filed under: uncultured bacterium
Lineage: Bacteria
Description: bacterial SSU rRNA
Rfam family: Bacterial small subunit ribosomal RNA
Source: RNAcentral
GUAGUCCACGCCGUAAACGUUGGGCGCUAGGUGUGGGCCUCAUUCCACGAGGUCCGUGCCGCAGCUAACGCAUUAAGCGCCCCGCCUGGGGAGUACGGCCGCAAGGCUAAAACUCAAAGAAAUUGACGGGGGCCCGCACAAGCAGCGGAGCAUGUGGCUUAAUUCGAUGCAACGCGAAGAACCUUACCUGGGCUUGACAUGCAAGGAAAUCUCAUAGAGAUAUGAGGUCCGUAAGGGCCUUGCACAGGUGGUGCAUGGCUGUCGUCAGCUCGUGUCGUGAGAUGUUGGGUUAAGUCCCGCAACGAGCGCAACCCUCAUCCUAUGUUGCCAGCGCGUAAUGGCGGGGACUCAUAGGAGACUGCCGUGGUCAACACGGA